GAGUCUGUAGCUUCAAGUGGCUGAAUCUUUGAAAAAUGCAGGAAGAACUUCAGUCUUUGAAGUCAUUUUCCCUUUGGGAGGUCUCUCCUUCGUGAGUAAGGCAACCAUCAACAGCAGAGCCACUUUAGAGUCUCCUGGGAAAGUGUGAACAUGACAGUAAACAGCCUACAUCAAAGACAUUUCAAUUCAGCAACAAGCCUUUCUGUUUCGGGCUCAUAGGCAGAAGGAACUUGCCUUCUCUCAGAUGAGACUUUGGACUUGGACAUUUAAGUUAACGCUGGAAUGAGCUAAGAUUUUGGGGGACUGUUGGAAAGACAUGAUUGUGGUUUGAAAUGUGAGAAGGACAUGAGAUUUGGGAGGGGCCAGGGUGGAAUGAUAUGGUAUAACUCUGUGUCCCCACCUAAAUUUGAUACUGAACUGUAAUUCCCAGUGUUGGAGGAGGGACCUCUUGGGAGGUGAUUGGAUCAUGUGGGUGAAUUUGCUGUUUGCUGUUCUCAUGAUAGUGAGUUCUCUUGAGAUUUGGUUUUGUAAAUAUGUGUAGCACUUCCCCCUUAGUGCUCUCUGUCUCUCUCUCUCUCUCUCCUGCCACUAUUUGAACAUAUGUGUGCUUUUCCUUCACCUUCCACCAUGAUUGUAAGUUUCCUGAGGCCUCCCCAGCCAUGCCUCCUCUACAGCCUGUGGAACUGAGUCAAUUAAACCACUUUUCUUCUUUAUAGCAGUGUGAGAAUAGACUACUACACAUAGGUUGUAGGGAAAUGUGCCUGGUGACAUAGUAAUUGCUGAUCUUGACUCAUACUCACUUGCUCUGAACUUUUGCAAUGGCCUGUUACCCUUAUACCUGAAUUUUAUUUGCACUGCAGGCACUUCCCUACUGGGGCUUUCAUGGCUGUCUGCAAGGCAUACUGUUUUCCUUUUUCUUCCAUAAUGACUUCUCAUUUCUG
Molecule: long non-coding RNA, 941 nt
Filed under: Macaca mulatta (Rhesus monkey)
Lineage: Eukaryota; Metazoa; Chordata; Mammalia; Primates; Cercopithecidae
Description: lncRNA (ENSMMUG00000053697.1)
Source: RNAcentral